Long non-coding RNA from Dioscorea cayenensis subsp. rotundata (Guinea yam), 751 nucleotides. RefSeq lists it as uncharacterized. The transcript has 4 exons. The record is from RefSeq and is a predicted model, not a curated record. NCBI's taxonomy places the organism in Eukaryota, Viridiplantae, Streptophyta, Magnoliopsida, Dioscoreales, Dioscoreaceae.
UAUAACAAUUAAUGGCUCAUAUUCAUCAAGAAAAACUUAAACCCCUAAGCAGUUACUUCCUUUUGUCCAAACCCUAAAUCAGCAACUUCCUUCUAAACAAUCCAAUCCCUAAACCUAAAAGCAAGCCAUCUUUAAUUCAUCCUUUCUCUCCAAAUCUCAUCACCUCUCCUCUUAAUCUUUUGCCCAUCCACAAGUCUCAUGCCGAAACCCUAUCUUUCUCGGCUUUUUCAACUGAAGAGAUGGCGAUGAAGUCAAUACAAGCUAUUAGUGCUAGGGUGAUGAAGGCUUGGCUCAAGGCAAGGAGCUGGCAAAGGAGUAGUACCCUUGUGGAGUUAAUCUCCUAAUUUUAAUAUUGUAUGUCUUUCAGCGAAUCAAGAGUUGAGUGGAGUAGGUGUCCUUUCUUGAAUUAUCGCGGCGAUUGUCGCUUGCCAGGCCUGCAGGUCUAGGACAUAGUUGUCGUCUUGCAAAAGAUGCUACAAUGGUGAGAUCUUUGGUGGAUGAUCGCAUAGCUCUUAUAAUCCAAACUUUUUCUUCUAUUAUCAUAGCAUUUGUUUUGCCGUUGAUUACUUCAUGGAGCUAGAUUAGACAUUGUCAUGAUUUCCAUCCAUCCAUUAAUCACUCUUUCAUUCUAUACCCACCCAGUUUCCUUAAAAAAAGAUGUUGAAUAAAACAAUUCGAUCUCAGUCUAAGAGCAGCAAACUUGCAGUUGAGGCUGUUUCCAACAUUCGCACAAUCACUAUUUUCUCUUCUC